GAAAAACUGUCAUAAUAGCUGCAAACCCCUUUUAUUUCCAUUUCGAAACUUCAUUCAUGCUGAAGCAUCUCUUUUCAUUUUCGCGUACCCCUCUCGUCUCUAUCCUCUCACAUUUUUCACUUCUCAUUCUCGAGACUUCUUCAACAGGAGCAUAGAUAUUCAUUCUCUCUGCUUCUUGUUGAUUCACAUUCGUACAUCACAGAACCACAUUUUCGUUGUUGUCUUGCGAGUUUUCUCCAACUCUAAACAUCAUUGCUAGGUUUCAUACUUCUUCAUGAUUUCCUUUCUAUUUUCACAUUUUUCUUUGAUUUCGCCGAUUAAAUUAUCGUUUAUCACCUUUUCCACCAAUUAAAACACCUUUUUUCCGUUCGUUUCUCAUUUUUAACACUCAAUAUCGCCUUUGAACCGAUUAAUCGAUUCACCUAGGGUUUCCUCCAGUAGAUUCCCUUUCUAUUGCUGUAAUUUGUGGCAAGAGUGUUAAGAAACCUCCAUCAAGGGAAUCAGCUUCUCCGAAGACAAGAGCAUGUUGCCUGCUUCCUCUAAUGAGAGCUUCCGGGUCAUAAGCCAGGGUCACGAGCCAAUCGAAGAGGAUGGACAAAACCCGUGACUUAAUCCCUGGAAAUUCUCGGAGAAGCCUGAAACCGACAAAAUUGGUGCCAAAGCCUAAAAGGAGUAAGGUUCCCACUCUCAACUCUGUUGCC
Molecule: long non-coding RNA, 701 nt
Filed under: Vigna radiata
Lineage: Eukaryota; Viridiplantae; Streptophyta; Magnoliopsida; Fabales; Fabaceae
Description: long non-coding RNA (VRAD_LNC009757)
Source: RNAcentral